This 518-nucleotide ribosomal RNA is filed under the name uncultured bacterium. Its description in RNAcentral is "partial 16S ribosomal RNA". It matches the Rfam family "Bacterial small subunit ribosomal RNA", at positions 28 to 523 of the family's 1533-position model. The record is from RNAcentral.
GACGAACGCUGGCGGCGUGCUUAACACAUGCAAGUCGAACGGAGGAUUUAUUUCGGUAAAUCCUUAGUGGCGAACGGGUGAGUAACGCGUGGACAAUCUGCCCUUCAGAUGGGGUCAACAUUCCGAAAGGGGUGCUAAUACCGAAUACGAUCGUUUUCCCGCAUGGGAUUACGAUGAAAGAUGGCCUCUAUUUAUAAGCUAUCGCUGAAGGAUGAGCCUGCGUCUGAUUAGCUAGUUGGUGGGGUGACGGCCUACCAAGGCGAUGAUCAGUAGCCGGUCUGAGAGGAUGAACGGCCACAUUGGGACUGAGACACGGCCCAAACUCCUACGGGAGGCAGCAGUGGGGAAUAUUCCGCAAUGGACGAAAGUCUGACGGAGCAACGCCGCGUGAGUGAUGAAGGUUUUCGGACUGUAAAGCUCUGUUGUUUAGGACGAAAGUGCCUGUUGCAAAUAGUUACAGGUAUUGACGGUACUGAACGAGGAAGCCACGGCUAACUACGUGCCAGCCGCCGCGGUAA